AGCUUCCACUCCUCCCUGCUGAGCAACUACUAAAAAUAACAUUUUGUUAGAUGACCUGAAUGGAUGGAAGAUAAAAUUACAGAAAAAGUGAGUGUGUCAGGUGGAGAUCCAAGAAUGAAUACAAAUGGCAACUGCUUGGGGAGAAUCUGCUUGGAAAAGACCUGUGAAAAUUGUAAAUGCAAGGACUAGUUGAGAAGUUUCUUCUUCAUCACUGUUGUAAUUGUGAAUGAUCACUACAUGAGGUGGUCAUUAAACAAAGAUUACUUUUACAGAGUGCCAUAUGUGUGUGCAGUUAGCUUAUAGAAAGUAUGGAAAAGGAUGUUUACUGAAAGGAGUGAAAUGAAAGAGUUUGUGGAGAAGAAACUUAAGAUUAAUCAAGAAAACAUGAAUAUAAUAAGCCAUAGGUUAAGUUAUAUGAACUGUAUGAUCAGAAAUCCUGCUUAUUCUUUGUUUCACUGGAAAUGGUUGUUAAAUUUCUUAAUUCAUUUUACUUGAACUUUUCUGCAAUAAGACUAAUCUUUGUAAUUAUUUUUCUCUUGAUUAACAACUAUGAGUUAGUGACAGGAUGUGCUAUGGUAUUGAAAUUCCCACUAUUUUUUAUACUUCUUGUUGGUUGUUCCUAAUAUUUCAUCAUUUAUAAUUUGCUGGACUUUUGGGUGCUGAAACACUUUAAAAAAUAAGAAUUAAAUUUGGAAGAGGAUAGUCAGACCUGAUAAUUAGACAGAGGAAAAUAUCUGAGAGGAGAAAUAGAAGUUUGAGGUGUACCCAUCUAAACAACUCUUUCUUUCUGGCCAUCACAAUUAUUGUAUGAAAAUGUUUUGAUGUUAUUUUUAUUUCUACCAUAUGGAUCGACAACUGUGUUCUGUUUCUGAAUGGCUUUUCUGUGGGUCCUUGAGAUCUGUCUCCAACCAGUUUUCCAAAACCAAUGCUAUAGUUUACCAGUGCCUCUACCCCUUAAUGAUUAGUAUUAUGUAUUAAACCAAAUGCAUAAGGUCUGUUAUAAAAACAGUUAACUGAUUGUCCAGUUUGAAUCCUUGACUGAUUGUCUGUAUAUACUUUAAGCCUUUGUUUUAGGUGGGAAGGAAUACUUUAAAAUCAUUGGCCACUGUUUAGCGGCAGUCUGUAUAAAUAUGAGUCAAGCUAGAGCUGCUUCUGUGAGAACUAAUAAAAGAGCUGUUAUUUCAAACUGGUGUCUUCAGUGCCUCACUGUUCCCACUACACAACAGUGGCGAUGAAGGUGGGAUUAUGCUGCUAGGAAGAAAAGAGCUAAGUCACUAAGGGGUAAGACUAGGCAUCAGUGCCCUGGUUAGAACCGCGUUCCCCCCUUCUGCCUACCAUAUGCAAAUGCUGGAGGUAUCACCUUUCUAAGGGACCUGUCCCUGGGAAUUUCACAGAAGCCCUAGCAGCAUAAGGCAUUGGAGACACAGUAACAGCCAGCCAUGGCCAAAGUUGGCAAGCUUUCCGAGUUUGACAUGACGCAUCCCGAACGAUGGAGUUCAUACAUCUCAAGGGUAGAAAACUACCUUAGACCGAACCAGGUCAGGGAAGAUAAUUUAAAAGCUGCAACCUUAUUGUGCGUGUAUGGCCAAGCCACCUUUGAGAUAGUGGAGAACCUAGUCGCUCCUGCUGCCUUGGAGUCAGUUACCUUCACUGACUUGAAACGAAGACUCAAGGAGCACUUUGAACCAAGACUGUCCAUCAUUGCAUGGAGACACGCAUUCGAGCAGAGAGAACAGCAGCCGGGGGAGUCUACUGCUGAAUUCGUGGCUGCCCUGCGACAGGUGUCCAGGGUCUGCAAAUUUCCGGAUUUAGAGGAUCGGCUCAGGGAUCGACUGGUAUGUGGCCUGAGAAGCAGAGACUUACAGCAGAGGCUGUUUGCUAAAGAGACCCUGACAUUCCAGGACGCACUGAAAGAAGUGAUGGCAGAAGAGGCCACAGGUGGAGCCGUCAAGACUUUACGUCCCUCAAAGAAUUUCCCCAGCCAGAUGGCUGUGCAUCACAAAGAGUCAGAGAGAACAGAAGACCCAGAUGUAGACAUUGAGAUGGACUGGGUGAAGAAGAUCCCAGAAAGAAGGCAGCGGCUGCUUGACAAGGCAGCUUUCUUCCCUAGCUGUCCUGGCUGCGGAGGACAACACCAGUGCUCAGAAUGCCGGUUUUGUGCAGCUGUGUGCUGAGCAUGUGGCAAACAAGGCCACAUCGCUAUUGUCUAUAAAGGUUGCCAGAGGGAAUCUCCACGUGAAGACUUGGAGAGGUAAUGGGCCCCGGGGCAGAAUAAAGUAGGAUAUUGCUCUGGAAGGAGGAGCAUUUUCAGAACUGGAGCCCAUCGCCCCCUGAAAGAAAAGCUUAGAUUAAAAGUCAAGCUACAAGGAGUUCCAUGCUCCAUGGAACUGGACACUGGGUCAGCCAU
Crotalus tigris (Tiger rattlesnake) is the source of this 2407-nucleotide long non-coding RNA. RefSeq lists it as uncharacterized. The record is from RefSeq and is a predicted model, not a curated record. Lineage: Eukaryota; Metazoa; Chordata; Lepidosauria; Squamata; Viperidae. The transcript is spliced from 3 exons.